UUCAAGUAAUCCAGGAUAGGCUGUGUCCAGCUGCGGGCCUAUCCUUGAUUGCUUGUUUC
This 59-nucleotide microRNA precursor is filed under the name Monodelphis domestica (gray short-tailed opossum). Its description in RNAcentral is "Mdo-Mir-26-P4_pre stem-loop". The record is from RNAcentral. Lineage: Eukaryota; Metazoa; Chordata; Mammalia; Didelphimorphia; Didelphidae.